Molecule: ribosomal RNA, 165 nt
Filed under: uncultured bacterium
Lineage: Bacteria
Description: partial 16S rRNA
Rfam family: Bacterial small subunit ribosomal RNA
Source: RNAcentral
UAGGGAAUCUUCCACAAUGGACGGAAAGUCUGAUGGAGCAACGCCGCGUGAGUGAAGAAGGGUUUCGGCUCGUAAAACUCUGUUGUUAAAGAAGAACAUAUCUGAGAGUAACUGUUCAGGUAUUGACGGUAUUUAACCAGAAAGCCACGGCUAACUACGUGUCAG